Mauremys mutica (yellowpond turtle) is the source of this 441-nucleotide long non-coding RNA. RefSeq lists it as uncharacterized. The transcript has 3 exons. The record is from RefSeq and is a predicted model, not a curated record. NCBI's taxonomy places the organism in Eukaryota, Metazoa, Chordata, Testudines, Geoemydidae.
GCUUCUCUUCUUGCUUUGCUAUUGGGGCAGGGAUUCUAGGUGCCUCAGACCCUUGUAUGGAAGGUGGCAACAGCAGGACAGAUCAGUUAAUGAGUUUGCUGGCUGGGAUGCUAAUAGGAACAGCUAAUUUUAGAUGACUAUUAGAAGGUAUCAAUGGAAGGAAUAAUCCAUGUAGGACAUGAGAAAACUUCAGAAUUUUCAAUAUGUGGAGUUUCCUGUGAAUUUUUCCAUUGAAGGUUGGGAUGCCAGGGAUUGUCGAAAGCAAAAGAACCUGGGGAUUUUGCCACUUCAACUCAGGGAUACCUGUUUUCAGCAUGGAUCCAUACGAAGCAAGAGGGAGCCACUCUUUAGCCAUUCUAGAGAGGAAUGAAUUGUGGGGGUCAACGCUUGUAGAAAUUCAGGGAGAGGCCUAUCUCUUGGAGAGAGUGCCCAAGAAGAACA